RNAcentral lists this ribosomal RNA (253 nucleotides) under uncultured bacterium. Its description in RNAcentral is "partial 16S ribosomal RNA". It matches the Rfam family "Bacterial small subunit ribosomal RNA", at positions 524 to 776 of the family's 1533-position model. The record is from RNAcentral.
GACAGAGGGUGCGAACGUUGCUCGGAAUUACUGGGCGUAAAGCGUGCGCAGGCGGCUUUGCAAGACAGAUGUGAAAUCCCCGGGCUUAACCUGGGAACUGCAUUUGUGACUGCAUGGCUGGAGUGCGGCAGAGGGGGAUGGAAUUCCGCGUGUAGCAGUGAAAUGCGUAGAUAUGCGGAGGAACACCGAUGGCGAAGGCAAUCCCCUGGGCCUGCACUGACGCUCAUGCACGAAAGCGUGGGGAGCAAACAGG